ACACCCUCAAGCUCUGCUUGGUGUUGGGCGUCUGUCCCGCCUCUUGGGCGCGGACUCGCCUCAAAGCGAUUGGCGGCUGGUACCACGGCCUGGAGUGCAGCAGAAUUGCGCCCCUCGCCCGCGGUCUGGCUCCCAGAAGCGAACCUUUUUUACUU
This 155-nucleotide unclassified non-coding RNA is filed under the name uncultured Pleosporales. Its description in RNAcentral is "sequence contains ITS2". Lineage: Eukaryota; Fungi; Ascomycota; Dothideomycetes; Pleosporales. The record is from RNAcentral.